This 1176-nucleotide long non-coding RNA is filed under the name Homo sapiens (human). Its description in RNAcentral is "HSALNT0135193". Lineage: Eukaryota; Metazoa; Chordata; Mammalia; Primates; Hominidae. The record is from RNAcentral.
AGAGAGAGCCAGGGGGCAGCAUCAGAGCCUGGGGCCCUGGCAGGGGUGCCCAAGGGCACGGCAGCUGCAGGUAUUGACAAGGCCAGAAGACGGCCCUCUGUGCAUGCCAUGCUUAAUAAGGUAAUAAAAAGGUAAGAUUAUAAAGAAGGAAGAGGCCUAUCAAGGAAAGAAGGCUCUUUAUUUGCUUUGCUGUCAUGGUAUCCUUCCCAUUCCACUGGCUUCCAGCACAUAUGUGGUUGGACAUUCAGAGGUGACAAUGGCCAGAUCAACCUUGAUGGAGUCUUGUUCUGUCACCAGGCUGGAGUGCAGUGGUGCGAUCUCAGCUCACUACAACCUCCACCUCCUGGGUUCAAGUGAAUCCCCUGCCUCAGCCUCCCUAGUAGCUGGGACUACAGGCACACACCACCACACCUGGCUAAUUUUUUGUAUUUUUUAGUAGAGACGGGGUUUCACCAUGUUGGCCAGGAUGGUCUCAAUCUCUUGACCUCAUGAUCUGCCCACCCCACCCUCCCAAAGUUCUGGGAUUACAGGCCUGAGCCACUGCACCUGGCUGCUAGUUCUUAAGAGGGAGGUAUGAGACGUAUGUAUAGACUAAGUGAAAGGAAAAUAUCUUGGGCCCCCAAAAUCACUAAGCUAAAAGGAAAAUUCAAGCUGGAAACUGCUCAGAGCAAACCUGCUUCCCAUUCUAUUCAAAGUCAUCCCUCUGCUCACUGAGGUAAAUGCAUAUUCUGAUUGGCUCCUUUGUAAAAGCUAAUUAGAAACUCAAAAGAAUGCAACUAUUUGUCUCUCACCUACUUGUGACCUGGAAGACCCCUCCCUGCUUCAAGUUCUCCCCACCUUUUUGGACAAAACCAGUGUACUUCUUACUGUAUUGAUUAAUGUCUUGUGUCUCCCUAAAGUGUAUAAAACCAAGUUGUGCCCUGACCACCUUGGGCACAGGUCAUCAGGACUUCCUGAGGCUGUGUCAUGGGCAUGCGUCCUCACCCUUGGCAAAAUAAACCUUCUAAAUUAAAUGAGACCUCUCUCAGAUUUUCUGGGUUUACAACUAUGAAUGUUCAGGAGAGUUUGGAAGCCAAUAUCUUCAAGGUCAUACACUUAUCUGUGUUUAGGGUACGUCUCCAGAGGGAGAGAACCACUAGGAUGCAUAUGAAGGGAAACCAACUAGGGGAAAUUGGC